UACCAGCACCCCGAGUGGUCGGGACGUUUAUUGGGCCUAAAGCAUCCGUAGCCGGUUCUACAAGUCUUCCGUUAAAUCCACCUGCUUAACAGAUGGGCUGCGGAAGAUACUAUGGAGCUAGGAGGCGGGAGAGGCAAGCGGUACUCGAUGGGUAGGGGUUAAAUCCGUUGAUCCAUUGAAGACCACCAGUGGCGAAGGCGGCUUGCCAGAACGCGCUCGACGGUGAGGGAUGAAAGCUGGGGGAGCAAACCGG
Molecule: ribosomal RNA, 253 nt
Filed under: uncultured bacterium
Lineage: Bacteria
Description: partial 16S ribosomal RNA
Rfam family: Archaeal small subunit ribosomal RNA
Source: RNAcentral